Molecule: long non-coding RNA, 186 nt
Organism: Thalassophryne amazonica
Lineage: Eukaryota; Metazoa; Chordata; Actinopteri; Batrachoidiformes; Batrachoididae
Exons: 4
Source: RefSeq, a predicted model, not a curated record
AUCUGCUACACAAAAAAAUUAUCCAGGUUACAGUAGUCAAUGUCAGUCAGAUUUCGGGGCACUGAUAGAAAGUCUAGGCUGUCUCAUUCAUUCUUUAAACGAUUCAUGAUUUUUGCAUUACAAUGCUUUUUUUUUUUUUUUUGCAGUUGUCAGCAACAUUUUACACAAGUUUGAGUUUUUUUUCAC